Helianthus annuus (common sunflower) is the source of this 382-nucleotide long non-coding RNA. RefSeq lists it as uncharacterized. The record is from RefSeq and is a predicted model, not a curated record. The transcript is spliced from 3 exons. Lineage: Eukaryota; Viridiplantae; Streptophyta; Magnoliopsida; Asterales; Asteraceae.
GGUUGUAGUGGUCCACAGAUGAUGAUGACACGGAUGCAUCUAUUGACAACAUGGAAGAGGAGGGUAGAUAUCAUGGAUGGGAAUGCGGCUACAUGGUUCUCCAACAUAUGUUUGACUUUGUCAAUUUGUAUCAAAACCAGUUUCCCGAGGAAAUGUGGCACGACACGAGAGAGGCUACGGAUAAUGAAAUAGAUGUUUUGUUGAUGACGUUGAUGCCGAAGUUUUUUAGCGAGUUAGGUAUUUCGCUAGAUUAGCGUAUGUAGUUUAUUUAUACAAUUAAACGUAGUUUGUUAUGCAUUCACAAAUGAUUGUAGUUUGACGGGUUUAUCUCCGAAUUGGAUGUCUACGGGUUUAUUUUCGAUUUGAAUAUGUAUUGUUUUGG